GCGGCGCUGCCCGACAGCGCCCGGGGCGGCACAGCUGCGAAGGGGCUGCUCGGUCCCCCGCCGCCCCGUGCCCGCCGCUCAGCCCCGGCCCGGCCGCUUUGCGAACAGCUAUGGCAAUCAGACUUACGAUGUUCUUCAGUCACUUCGGCCUGCUGUCCCAUCCCAGGUGCCUGCAGCCUUCACCGCAGUCGGGGCAUGCAGAGCAAGGUGUGGUCUUCUCACUGUGGUGUGAACGGCCAUCUUUGCACCUCUCUUCUCUAAGCUGUUUGCAAAUGACCUCUGAGCAGCCCCCGCACACCAUGCUUUCUGCCAUCAGUGAAGCAGAUGGAGGAUCAGUGCAUUUGCCUUGCAAGCAGUCAGCACCACAGGACUGGAUACUAUGUGCCUUUUUCUCUGCAGAAGGACUCAAAUAAAUGUCCUUCUGUCUGCGAUCUGCAUUUUUGGAAGACAUCCAUGAGCAAGUCAUUUGCUCAGCAGCCUCACUAUUGAGGUCACUGUGGGCUUUGCUUGAAUCUAUAUGCUCUUGAAUAUAUCUUGGAGGCCUGUUUUUCCACACUCUUUGCA
Molecule: long non-coding RNA, 564 nt
Organism: Gallus gallus (chicken)
Lineage: Eukaryota; Metazoa; Chordata; Aves; Galliformes; Phasianidae
Exons: 3
Source: RefSeq, a predicted model, not a curated record